RNAcentral lists this ribosomal RNA (498 nucleotides) under uncultured bacterium. Its description in RNAcentral is "partial 16S ribosomal RNA". It matches the Rfam family "Bacterial small subunit ribosomal RNA", at positions 30 to 523 of the family's 1533-position model. The record is from RNAcentral.
AUUGAACGCUGGCGGCAUGCCUUACACAUGCAAGUCGAACGGUAACAGGUCUUCGGAUGCUGACGAGUGGCGAACGGGUGAGUAAUACAUCGGAACGUGCCUAGUAGUGGGGGAUACCUACUCGAAAGAGUGGCUAAUACCGCAUGAGAUCUACGGAUGAAAGCAGGGGAUCGCAAGAUCUUGUGCUACUAGAGCGGCCGGUGGCAGAUUAGGUAGUUGGUGGGAUAAAAGCUUACCGAGCCGACGAUCUGUGGCUGGUCUGAGAGGACGAUCAGCCACACUGGGACUGAGACACGGCCCAGACUCCUACGGGAGGCAGCAGUGGGGAAUUUUGGACAAUGGGCGAAAGCCUGAUCCAGCAAUGCCGCGUGCAGGAUGAAGGCCUUCGGGUUGUAAACUGCUUUUGUACGGAACGAAAAGCCCCGGGUUAAUACCCUGGGGUCAUGACGGUACCGUAAGAAUAAGCACCGGCUAACUACGUGCCAGCCGCCGCGGUAA